GGCGGGGCUCGGAGCCGGG
RNAcentral lists this microRNA (19 nucleotides) under Homo sapiens (human). Its description in RNAcentral is "hsa-miR-10396a-5p". Lineage: Eukaryota; Metazoa; Chordata; Mammalia; Primates; Hominidae. The record is from miRBase by way of RNAcentral.